This 244-nucleotide long non-coding RNA is filed under the name Phoenix dactylifera (date palm). RNAcentral's name for it is "long non-coding RNA (PDAC_LNC011445)". Lineage: Eukaryota; Viridiplantae; Streptophyta; Magnoliopsida; Arecales; Arecaceae. The record is from RNAcentral.
UUACACAAGAAAGACAAGUGCCCUAAUCUUCUUCAUCCAAGUGCUUCAUUCAAGAGUCAAAAAGGAAGUGGUUGAGCAGACUCCAAGAGAUAUCAAAAGCUCCAUCCACCCUUGAAGAGUGAAGCAUUCUUGACAAAGAAGAGAGAAGUCUCAUCAAGCGAUAACUAUUCUCUAAACUCUUCUUUGUGGCUUAUAAAUGUUAUAUUUGCUCAUCUAGGAGCUUCAACUUUCUUCUUUCUUUUUA